Molecule: ribosomal RNA, 565 nt
Filed under: Kodamaea ohmeri
Lineage: Eukaryota; Fungi; Ascomycota; Pichiomycetes; Serinales; Debaryomycetaceae
Description: partial large subunit ribosomal RNA
Rfam family: Eukaryotic large subunit ribosomal RNA
Source: RNAcentral
CCAAAAACCCUUUUGCAUAUCAAUAAGCGGAGGAAAAGAAACCAACAGGGAUUGCCUCAGUAACGGCGAGUGAAGCGGCAAAAGCUCAAAUUUGAAAUCCCCCCGGGGAGUUGUAAUUUGAAGAUUGCGUCUUGGAGGCGACCGUGUCUAUGUUCCUUGGAACAGGACGUCACAGAGGGUGAGAAUCCCGUGCGGCACGGCCCCCGGCUCCUUAUAAGGCGCUCUCGACGAGUCGAGUUGUUUGGGAAUGCAGCUCAAAGUGGGUGGUAAAUUCCAUCUAAAGCUAAAUACAGGCGAGAGACCGAUAGCGAACAAGUACAGUGAUGGAAAGAUGAAAAGCACUUUGAAAAGAGAGUGAAACAGCACGUGAAAUUGUUGAAAGGGAAGGGCAUGCCGUCAGAUUGUCAGUGUGGGUAAGAAGCGGGGUACAAAGACUGUGGAACGUGGCCCUCGGGUGUUAUAGCCGCAGUUCAUGCCCCGUCUCUUUCCGAGGCCUGCUUUGAGGACACCGACGUAAUGACGGUACGCCGCCCGUCUUGAAACACGGACCAAAAAAGUUUAUUGU